Episyrphus balteatus (marmalade hoverfly) is the source of this 786-nucleotide long non-coding RNA. RefSeq lists it as uncharacterized. Lineage: Eukaryota; Metazoa; Arthropoda; Insecta; Diptera; Syrphidae. The record is from RefSeq and is a predicted model, not a curated record. The transcript is spliced from 3 exons.
CAGUUAUUUUUUGUAGAUACACCAUUUGGUUUUGGAACACAGCUCGCCAACGCCAUUUUUUUUUCGACAGAAAAUAUUAGGGACUAUAUAGACAUUAUUUGUUCAACGUCAUUUUCUGAACGAAAAUUGAGGUAGACGAGUUAUCGAGUUAGGGAAAUUUAAAUUGCCUAACUUUCCAAUAAAUUAGGACUUUUUUUUUUGACAACUCAUCAUUGGCAACCCAUCAUAAGACAGGUCACCUAAUGUGGAUAUCCAUUUGCCACAAAAAAAUUUCUACAAAAACCUCUGUUUCAAAUGGAAAUCGACAUAAGUUUCGAUUGGACCAAAUUUAUUUUAAGGAAAUGAAAAAGGAAGAAAAUUUCUAAUUCUUAUAAUUUUAGAACAAAAAUCAUUCUUCUUUUACUAUAAAUAAAAUAAAUAUGUUUUACUUUACAACCAGUUUCAAAAUUGCGGAUGUUAAAAAAAAAACAAGUUCCAGUUGGAUUUUUUCCAUCGGAAUUAAAUGCACGAUCAUGAAUCUGUCUGGAAAUUUAUUUCCAGUGAUAGGUAACUAUUCUUAAUAAAAACUCCUAAGGCAAUGUUAUGGGAAGAAAGGCUCCAUACCAAAAAACUUCCGAAAAUUUUCUCUCUUUUCAUUUUUGUCAAUAUUAUUGAAAAUGGAACAAAAUUUAAACUGAAAAUAUAUAUACAUUUUAUAUAUAUUUGGAAGAAGCUUUGUUAAGCAACAUUGAUCCGAUUGAAUGUUGGAAAAUAUGUUUAAUUGAAUGCAGAACUUGGAGAUUUGGU